Molecule: ribosomal RNA, 652 nt
Filed under: uncultured bacterium
Lineage: Bacteria
Description: bacterial SSU rRNA
Rfam family: Archaeal small subunit ribosomal RNA
Source: RNAcentral
AUACCGGCUGCUCGAGUGAUGGCCACUAUUACUGGGUUUAAAGCGUCCGUAGCUUGACUGUUAGGUCUCUUGGGAAAUCUUCACGCUCAACGUGAAGGCGUCUAAGAGAUACCGGCAGUCUUGGAACUGGGAGAGGUAAACCGUACUUCGGGGGUAGGAGUGAAAUCUUGUAAUCCUCGAGGGACGACCUAUGGCGAAGGCAGUUUACCAGAACAGCUUCGACAGUGAGGGACGAAAGCUGGGGGAGCAAACGGGAUUAGAUACCCCGGUAGUCCCAGCCGUAAACAAUGUGCGUUAGGUGUGUCGGUAACCACGUGUUACUGAUGCGCCGAAGAGAAAUCGUGAAACGCACCACCUGGGAAGUACGGUCGCAAGGCUGAAACUUAAAGGAAUUGGCGGGGGAGCACCACAACAGGUGGAGCCUGCGGUUUAAUUGGAUUCAACGCCGGACAUCUCACCGGAUAAGACAGCUGAAUGAUUGUCAAUCUGAAGGUUUUACAUGACUAGCUGAGAGGAGGUGCAUGGCCGUCGUCAGUUCGUACUGUGAAGCAUCCUGUUAAGUCAGGCAACGAGCGAGACCCACGCCGACAAUUGCCAGCAGCAUCUCCGGAUGGCUGGGGACAUUGUCGGGGACCGCCUCUGCUAAAGAGGA